Molecule: ribosomal RNA, 330 nt
Filed under: uncultured eukaryote
Lineage: Eukaryota
Description: partial 18S ribosomal RNA
Rfam family: Eukaryotic small subunit ribosomal RNA
Source: RNAcentral
CCCUUAGAUGUUCUGGGCCGCACGCGUGCUACACUGAUGCAUUCAAUGAGUCUAAAACCUGGUCUGAUAGGGCUGGGUAAUCUUUUGAAAGUGCAUCGUGAUUGGGAUAGAUGAUUGCAAUUCUUCAUCUUCAACGAGGAAUGCCUAGUAAACGCAAGUCAUCAGCUUGCAUUGAUUACGUCCCUGCCCUUUGUACACACCGCCCGUCGCUACUACCGAUUGGAUGGUUUAGUGAGAUCCUCGGAUUGGUCCCGGCGCGGCCUCUGGUCGUGCCGGAGUGCCGAAAAGAAUGUCGAACUUGAUCAUCUAGAGGAAGUAAAAGUCGUAACA